CACACAGAGAAGACAAGAAUACCAUGUGAAAACAAAGAUAGAGCUUGGAGUCAUGCAACCACAAGCCAAGGAAUAUCUAGAGCCCUAGAAGCUGGAAGAGCCACGGAAGUUUUCUUCCUUAGAGCUAUUAUCUGUAACCAUUUUUGGACUUCCAGCCUCCAGAAUUGUAAGAGAAAGCAUUUCUAUGAUUUCAGUGUGUUGCAACAACCCUAGGAAGCUACUAAUAAUACAGAAGGCAAGUCCCUCCUUAACAGGGCACCUGAAAGUUGCUACAGAGAUCACUCAUCAAACAUGUCCAUUAGGCAACUGGAAUCUAGAACGUUCAAAGACUGCUGUGCAUAUUAUAAUCCCUAAGGAGCAUGUGAGAGGACUUCAAAAAGCUUGUGGAAAAAUGAAGUGUGAGUUUAUUUUGGCACAAAUUUUUUUUUGAAAUUCAUGUAUAGUUUUUUCAUGAUACAAAUUUUCCAUUAACUUUUUUGAACACUCCUAUAUUUUUGAAUAAACUAGCAGAAGGUGAAGUUUUCGUAAGUGAACAAUUUGAAGUCUAGAAAAUGAUUAGCGUCACUUCAAAGGAUUGGGUGCUUACAUUUACUACCAUUUCACAAGAAUUUUUUUCCUUCACAUAAAGAAUUAAAGAGACUCUUGACUAUCAAAUGAAGAGGGGCACUUCCCAGGAGAUACUAGAGGAAAGAUGCUACAAAAUGAAGGAGAAAGGCCUAGAAACAAAGAUGUGCUCCUGCAGGAGGAAACAGAAAGCCUUUCUCUCUUUCCGAUUCCCGAGGAUGGUAACAGUGGGUCAAAUGGUAUUUCCAAAGACAUGGAUGGCCACAUCCUUAUUGUUGGAGCCUGGGCAUGUUAGUUUACUAAGGGUCAUUCUAGAUGUGAUAAAGUUAAAGACCUGGAGAAGAUUUAUCUUGGCGAUCCCUAAAUUCCAUUACAAGUAACCUUUAAGAAAAUGAGGCAAGUGACCAGCAGAUAUUGAAAUGGUUACAUCAUUGGA
Long non-coding RNA from Tupaia belangeri chinensis (Chinese tree shrew), 1000 nucleotides. RefSeq lists it as uncharacterized. The transcript has 3 exons. Lineage: Eukaryota; Metazoa; Chordata; Mammalia; Scandentia; Tupaiidae. The record is from RefSeq and is a predicted model, not a curated record.